This 222-nucleotide long non-coding RNA is filed under the name Homo sapiens (human). RNAcentral's name for it is "HSALNT0368297". The record is from RNAcentral. Lineage: Eukaryota; Metazoa; Chordata; Mammalia; Primates; Hominidae.
UUCUCAUCCUAAGCUUGCAGGGCCAAGUGCUGCCGGGUGUUGGAGAAGUAGUUUGGUUCUGAUGUAGAUGGAUAAUAUGUGACCCCAAUAAUUCUGGAGAUGACACUCCUGGUCAUUUUCUUCUCUGUCCAUGGGAGGUGAGAGGGGAUACUAGUAAGAUGAGCCCCAGAGACAGAGGAUGGAGGUGAAGUGAAGGAAGCACAGAGACACCAGUGCUGGGCC